Molecule: ribosomal RNA, 459 nt
Filed under: Colostethus pratti (Pratt's rocket frog)
Lineage: Eukaryota; Metazoa; Chordata; Amphibia; Anura; Dendrobatidae
Description: partial 16S ribosomal RNA
Rfam family: Bacterial large subunit ribosomal RNA
Source: RNAcentral
NNNNNNNNNAAUGAGGACUAGUAUGAAUGGNCCCACGAGCGGUACGCUGUCUCCUUUUUCUAAUCAAUGAAACUAAUCUUCUCGUGAAGAAGCGAGAAUAAUUUUAUAAGACGAGAAGACCCUAUGGAGCUUUAAAUAACUGAAAAAUUUGCACAUCCAAUUUUUAUCUUCCGAGCUCCCACUCUCUGAGCAUUUUUAUUUCUAAUUUUAGGUUGGGGCGACCACGGAGCAAAAUUAAACCUCCACGACGAAGGAGACUCCUUCUCUUAGCUAAAAGCUACUCCUUUAAGCAUCAGCAAACUGACUUCUUUUGACCCAAUAAAUUGAUCAACGAACCAAGUUACCCUAGGGAUAACAGCGCAAUCUACUUCAAGAGCUCAUAUCGACAAGUAGGUUUACGACCUCGAUGUUGGAUCAGGGUAUCCUAGUGGUGCAGCCGCUACUAAUGGUUCGUUUGNN